AUGAACGCUAGCGGCAGGCUUAACACAUGCAAGUCGAGGGGCAGCACGGGUAGCAAUACCUGGUGGCGACCGGCGCAAGGGUGCGUAACGCGCGAGCAACAUGCCCUAUACAGGGGGAUAAUCCAGGGAAACUUGGUCUAAUAUCCCAUAGCAUUUAGAGGAGGCAUCUUCACUAAAUUAAAGCUUCGGUGGUAUAGGAUUGGCUCGCGUGACAUUAGCUAGAUGGUGAGGUAACGGCCCACCAUGGCUAUGAUGUCUAGGGGUUCUGAGAGGAAGACCCCCCACACUGGGACUGAGACACGGCCCAGACUCCUACGGGAGGCAGCAGUGAGGAAUAUUGGACAAUGGAUGGAAAUCUGAUCCAGCCAUGCCGCGUGCAGGAAGACGGCCCUAUGGGUUGUAAACUGCUUUUAUAUGGGAGCAAUAAGGUUUACGAGUAGACCGAUGAGAGUACCAUAUGAAUAAGCAUCGGCUAACUCCGUG
Molecule: ribosomal RNA, 483 nt
Filed under: uncultured bacterium
Lineage: Bacteria
Description: bacterial SSU rRNA
Rfam family: Bacterial small subunit ribosomal RNA
Source: RNAcentral